This 139-nucleotide small nucleolar RNA is filed under the name Arabidopsis thaliana (thale cress). RNAcentral's name for it is "JKHR07C1". The stretch from base 2 to 101 matches the Rfam family "Small nucleolar RNA snoR31". The record is from RNAcentral. Lineage: Eukaryota; Viridiplantae; Streptophyta; Magnoliopsida; Brassicales; Brassicaceae.
GGGGAUAAUGAUGAAGCAAAAUUAAUCUAAUCCAACACUUGAUCUGAGAGAUACUAUGUGCAUCUCCAAGUGAAGUUACAACUGUUAGCUUCUGAAUCUAACUUUGAGGAAAAAAAAAAAAAAAAAAAAAAAAAAAAAA